This 209-nucleotide ribosomal RNA is filed under the name Tolypocladium ophioglossoides. RNAcentral's name for it is "partial large subunit ribosomal RNA". Lineage: Eukaryota; Fungi; Ascomycota; Sordariomycetes; Hypocreales; Ophiocordycipitaceae. The record is from RNAcentral.
AAGCGUUUGUGACCAGACUUGGGCCCGGUGGAUCAUCCAGCGUUCUCGCUGGUGCACUCCGCCGGGCUCAGGCCAGCAUCAGUUCGCCGCGGGGGAUAAAAGCUUCGGGAACGUGGCUCCCUCGGGAGUGUUAUAGCCCGUUGCACAAUACCCUGCGGCGGACUGAGGUUCGCGCUCCGCAAGGAUGCUGGCGUAAUGGUCACCAGCGA